RNAcentral lists this ribosomal RNA (467 nucleotides) under uncultured bacterium. RNAcentral describes it as "partial 16S ribosomal RNA". It matches the Rfam family "Bacterial small subunit ribosomal RNA", at positions 28 to 506 of the family's 1533-position model. The record is from RNAcentral.
GACGAACGCUGGCGGCGUGCUUAACACAUGCAAGUCGAACGGAAAGGCCCUGCUUUUGUGGGGUGCUCGAGUGGCGAACGGGUGAGUAACACGUGAGUAACCUGCCCUUGACUUUGGGAUAACUUCAGGAAACUGGGGCUAAUACCGGAUAGGAGCUCCUGCUGCAUGGUGGGGGUUGGAAAGUUUGGGCGGUUGGGGAUGGACUCGCGGCUUAUCAGCUUGUUGGUGGGGUAGUGGCUUACCAAGGCUUUGACGGGUAGCCGGCCUGAGAGGGUGACCGGCCACGUGGGGACUGAGAUACGGCCCGGACGCCUCCGGGGGGCAGCAGGGGGGAAGGGUGCGCAGGGGGCGGAAGCCGGAUGCAGCACCGCCGCGUGCGGGGUGAGGGCCUUCGGGUGGUAAACCGAUGUCAGUAGGGACGAAGCGCAAGUGACGGUACCUACAGAAGAAGCAGCGGCCAACUACGU